This 251-nucleotide ribosomal RNA is filed under the name Vibrio cholerae. RNAcentral describes it as "partial 16S ribosomal RNA". It matches the Rfam family "Bacterial small subunit ribosomal RNA", at positions 1016 to 1266 of the family's 1533-position model. The record is from RNAcentral. Lineage: Bacteria; Pseudomonadati; Pseudomonadota; Gammaproteobacteria; Vibrionales; Vibrionaceae.
GCCUUCGGGAACUGUGAGACAGGUGCUGCAUGGCUGUCGUCAGCUCGUGUUGUGAAAUGUUGGGUUAAGUCCCGCAACGAGCGCAACCCUUAUCCUUGUUUGCCAGCACGUAAUGGUGGGAACUCCAGGGAGACUGCCGGUGAUAAACCGGAGGAAGGUGGGGACGACGUCAAGUCAUCAUGGCCCUUACGAGUAGGGCUACACACGUGCUACAAUGGCGAGUACAGAGGGCAGCAAAACCGCGAGGUGGA